GACGAACGCUGGCGGCGUGCUUAACACAUGCAAGUCGAACGGAAAGGCCCUGCUUUUGUGGGGUGCUCGAGUGGCGAACGGGUGAGUAACACGUGAGUAACCUGCCCUUGACUUUGGGAUAACUUCAGGAAACUGGGGCUAAUACCGGAUAGGAGCUCCUGCUGCAUGGUGGGGGUUGGAAAGUUUCGGCGGUUGGGGAUGGACUCGCGGCUUAUCAGCUUGUUGGCGGGGUAGUGGCUUACCAAGGCUUUGACGGGUAGCCGGCCUGAGAGGGUGACCGGCCACAUUGGGACGGAGAUACGGCCCAGACUCCAACGGGAGGCAGCAGUGGGGAAUAUUGCACAAUGGGCGGAAGCCUGAUGCAGCAACGCCGCGUGCGGGAUGACGGCCUUCGGGUUGUAAACCGCUUUCGCCUGUGACGAAGCGUGAGUGACGGUAAUGGGUAAAGAAGCACCGGCUAACUACGUG
Molecule: ribosomal RNA, 468 nt
Filed under: uncultured bacterium
Lineage: Bacteria
Description: partial 16S ribosomal RNA
Rfam family: Bacterial small subunit ribosomal RNA
Source: RNAcentral